GACGAACGCUGGCGGUGCGCCUUAUGCAUGCAAGUCGAGCGAAGCUUUUCAGUAGUUUACUACAGAAAAUGACUGAGCGGCGAACGGGUGAGUAACGCGUGAGCAAUCUACCUUAGUUACAGGGAUAGCCCGAGGAAACUCGGAUUAAUACCUGAUAUUCUUUAAAUUUCGCAUGAAAUUAAAAGGAAAGGUCAGCCGAACUAAGAUGAGCUCGCGUUCUAUCAGCUAGUUGGUGAGGUAAAAGCUCACCAAGGCUACGACGGAUAGCUGGUCUGAGAGGACGAUCAGCCACACUGGGACUGAGACACGGCCCAGACUCCUACGGGAGGCUGCAGCAGGGAAUAUUGCGCAAUGAGCGAAAGCUUGACGCAGCGACACCGCGUGUGGGAUGACGGAUCUAGGUUUGUAAACCACUUUCAGGAGGGAAGAAAAUGACGGUACCUCCACAAGAAGCCCCGGCCAACUACGUG
This 470-nucleotide ribosomal RNA is filed under the name uncultured bacterium. RNAcentral describes it as "bacterial SSU rRNA". It matches the Rfam family "Bacterial small subunit ribosomal RNA", at positions 28 to 507 of the family's 1533-position model. The record is from RNAcentral.